RNAcentral lists this microRNA (21 nucleotides) under Pteropus alecto (black flying fox). RNAcentral's name for it is "pal-miR-10010-5p". Lineage: Eukaryota; Metazoa; Chordata; Mammalia; Chiroptera; Pteropodidae. The record is from miRBase by way of RNAcentral.
UCCCCUCGCGGGUGACGCUUA